RNAcentral lists this ribosomal RNA (253 nucleotides) under uncultured bacterium. Its description in RNAcentral is "partial 16S ribosomal RNA". It matches the Rfam family "Bacterial small subunit ribosomal RNA", at positions 524 to 776 of the family's 1533-position model. The record is from RNAcentral.
UACGCAGGGUGCAACCGUUGCUCGGAAUUAUUGGGCGUAAAGCGCACGUAGGCGGCUUGGCAAGUCGGAUGUGAAAUCCCUCGGCUCAACCAAGGAAGUGCAUCCGAAACUGCCGAGCUUGAGUACUUAAGAGGAUCGCGGAAUUCCCGGUGUAGAGGUGAAAUUCGUAGAUAUCGAGAGGAACACCUGCGGCGAAGGCGGGUUGCUGGGCUGACACUGACGCUGAAGUGCGAAAGCUAGGGGAGCGAACGGG